RNAcentral lists this ribosomal RNA (2916 nucleotides) under bioreactor sludge metagenome. Its description in RNAcentral is "bacterial LSU rRNA". It matches the Rfam family "Bacterial large subunit ribosomal RNA". The record is from RNAcentral.
CCAAGCUACUAAGGGCACAUGGGGGAUGUCUUGGCGUCAGAAGCCUAUGAAGGGCGUGGAAGACUGCGAUAAGCCCGGGGUAGUUGUCAAACGAGCGUUGAUCCCGGGAUACCCGAAUUAACACACACUGAAUCCAUAGGUGUGUGUCGCGAACACGGUGAACCGAAACAUCCAAGUAACCGUUGGAAAAGAAAGAAAAAUCGAUUUCCCUAGUAGUGGCGAGCGAAAAGGAAAUAGCCCAAACCGCGAGGGUUUCCCUCGCGGGGUUGUAGGGCCUUUCACAUGGGAGUUACCAAGCUACCAGCUAGCAGAACUGUCUGGAAAGGCAGGCCACAGCGGGUGACAGCCCCGUAUGCGGCAGUGGUGUAGCCUCCCGAAAGGUACCUGAGUAGGUCGGGCCACGUGAAAUCCCGACUGAAUCCACGGGGACCAUCCCGUAAGGCUAAAUACUCUCUGACGACCGAUAGUGAACUCAGUAGGGCGACUGAAAGAUGGGAAGAACCCCUGUUAGGGGAGGAUACUGAACCUGAAACCAUGUGCCUACAAGCGGUCGGAGCACUAUGGCGAGCUUGCUCGCAAAGUGUGACGGCGUGCCUUUUGCAUAAUGAUCCGGCGAGUUACCGUCUGCGGCGUUUAGGUUAAGGCCUUCCGGGCUGGAGCCAUAGGGAAACCGAGUCUGAAUAGGGCGACAUAGUCGUUGGCGGUAGACGCGAAUCUGCGUGAACUACCCAUGAGCAGGUUGAAUCGCGGGUUAUACCGCGUGGAGGACCGAACCCACUUGGGUUGAAAACCGAGGGGAUGACUUGUGGGGAGGAGUGAAAGUCUAAUCAAACGCAGGGAUAGCUCGUUCUCUCCGAAAUAGCUUUAGGGCUAGCCUUGAGCAACUACGCAUCGGGGGUAGAGAUACUGAAUCGGGUUGGGGGUCCUCCAAGACUACCCUCCUGAACCAAACUCCGAAUACCGAUGCGACUAUCUCAGGAGUCAGUCCGCGAGGGAUAAGCUUCGCGGUCAAGAGGGAAACAACCCAGAUCACCUGCUAAGGUCCCGAAGUCGAGCUUAGUCACUAAGGAAGUUGAAUUGCCGAGACAGCCAGGAUGUUGGCUUAGAAGCAGCCACCAUUUAAAAAGUGCGUAACAGCUUACUGGCCAAGCAGUUCUGCGCCGAUAAUGAACGGGAGUAAGUUCGACACCGAAGCAGUGGAAUCCGAAAGGAUUGGUAGGAGAGCGCUGAAGAUCAGACACGAGCCGUACCGUAAGGAGCGGUGGAGGGGUCUUCAGGUGCUUAUGCCGGAAUGAGUAACGAUAAGGCAGGUGAGAAUCCUGCCCGCCGAAAGCCUAAGGUUUCCUGGGGAAGGUAAUUCCGCCCAGGGUUAGCCGGUACCUUAGUCGAGGCCGAAAGGCGUAGACGAUGGAUAGCAGGUCAACAUUCCUGCGCCACUAUAGUGGACCGAUGGAGGGACGGCGUCUGGAUGGUGAGCCGUACGAGUAGAAACGUCGGUAGACCAAUCUGCGGUGUGGGAUAGGCAAAUCCGCCCACGCAAGCCAAGGGUUGGGCUCGAGCGCAUUUACGUUCGUGAAGUCAUCUGAAGGGCGUCCAAGAAAAGCUCCUAAGGGUUGAAACUAUAGUGACCGUACUAAAACUGACACAGGUAGGCGAGACGAGUAGUCUAAGGCGCUCGGGAGAAUGGUGGUUAAGGAACUCUGCAAAAUGACCCCGUAAGUUCGCGAUAAGGGGUGCCUCCGACGGUGAAUAGCUUUUGGAGGCCACAGUAAAUCGGCAUCAGCGACUGUUUAUCAAAAACACAGGACUCUGCUAACUCGCAAGAGGAUGUAUAGAGUCUGACGCCUGCCCGGUGCCGGUAGGUUAAGGAAGGGGGUUAGCCGCAAGGUGAAGCCCGCGACCGAAGCCCCGGUAAACGGCGGCCGUAACUAUGACGGUCCUAAGGUAGCGAAGUUCCUUGUCGGGUAAGUUCCGACCUGCAUGAAUGGCGUAACGACAGCUCUACUGUCUCAACCAGUGACCCGGUGAAAUUGUAGCCGUGGUGAAGAUGCCACGUUCCCGUAGCUAGACGGAAAGACCCCAUGAACCUUUACUGUAGGCUGGUAUUGGGCUGUGAUAUGUUCUGUGUAGGAUAGGUGGGAGGCGUUGAAGCCGGUACGCCAGUAUCGGUGGAGCCAACCUUGAAAUACCACCCUGGGCAUAUUUUAGUUCUAACGCUGUCCCGUGAAUCCGGGCAGCGGACAUUUCCAGUUGGGCAGUUUGACUGGGGCGGUCUCCUCCAAAAAGGUAACGGAGGAGUUCAAAGGUACCCUCAGCCUGGUUGGCAAUCAGGCGUCGAGCGUAAAGGUAGAGAGGGUGCUUGACUGCGAGACAGAUGUGUCGAGCAGAUGCGAAAGCAGGACUUAGUGAUCCGGUGGUCCCGCAUGGAAGGGCCAUCGCUCAUCAGACAAAAGGUACUCUGGGGAUAACAGGCUUAUCGCUCCCGAGCGUCCACAGCGGCGGAGCGGUUUGGCACCUCGAUGUCGGCUCAUCACAUCCUGGGGGUGGAGAAGCUCCCAAGGGUUUGGCUGUUCGCCAAUGAAAGUGGUACGUGAGCUGGGUUCAGACCGUCGUGAGACAGGUCGGUCCCUAUCUGCUAUGGGCGCACGAAACUUGCGGAGGUUCUUCUUUAGUACGAGAGGAUUUAGAAGGACGUACCUCUGGUGUUCCAGUUGUCGCGCUAGCGGCACGGCUGGGUAGCUAUGUACGGAAAGGAUAAACGCUGAAAGCAUAUAAGCGUGAAGCCCUCUCCAAGAUCAGGUUUCGUUGGGGUAUAACCCCGAAAGUCCCCUGGAAGAUUACCAGGUCGAUAGGUCGGAUGUGUAAGCGCAGUAAUGCGUUCAGCUAACCGAUACUAACGGACGAAUGCUUGGCCGC